GGAGCUGUGGCUUGGUAGAAUAGCCUCUGCUUUGCAUGCAGAAGGUCCCAGAUUCAAUCCCCAGGAUCUCCA
This 72-nucleotide transfer RNA is filed under the name Sphaerodactylus townsendi. Its description in RNAcentral is "tRNA-Ala". Lineage: Eukaryota; Metazoa; Chordata; Lepidosauria; Squamata; Sphaerodactylidae. The record is from RNAcentral.